Salmo salar (Atlantic salmon) is the source of this 1054-nucleotide non-coding RNA. NCBI's taxonomy places the organism in Eukaryota, Metazoa, Chordata, Actinopteri, Salmoniformes, Salmonidae. The record is from RefSeq and is a predicted model, not a curated record.
ACUUUCCAAUUGUUUGUGCAGUUCAAGUCUGCAGACAUUUGCUAAUCUCCCGUCAGAACAGGAUCUGCACACGUGUUCACAUUUUCCAUCUGUUGCCCUCAUUGUUUUCGUUACUAAUAAUAACUUUGGAAAUGUGUGCGUUUCUAUCAAAUGGCGCAGCGGUCAAAGGCACAGCACGGGGUCAAAGGCACAGCACGGUGCUAGAGACGUCACUACAGACUCCCUGGUUCAAAUCCAUGCUGCGUUUCUAAAAACCACAAACAGUAUUUGCCAAUAUCAUAACUGGACAUCUUUCGAGCUGAAGAUUGAGGACAGCUUUUGUAUGCUAACGUUCUCUCCUUAACAGUUUUACUGGAUGGAAACACAGCAAGAAAACACAUAGGCCAAUAUGCAUAGUAUCAUGGCAGGUCACCUGUCAAGUCACCUGUCAGGUCAGUCAGUCACUUAUUGCUGCAGAUGUGCUCAAUAAUGCUUGAGCAUGUGAUACUCCUCAAAGCAUGGUGAAAUACAUAGAGGUGUAUCACAAGCUAAACACAUGUAUUUUGUCAUCUUCCUCUGCUUACUUCUCCUGGCGCCAGACAGGCAGACUUUGCAGUGCCUCCGUGUGCGACUACCUUGAGCAGCAGUUUGAGGGACUUUGCAGGGAAAAUGCCGUGCAGUGAGGCGUAGGGGAUUGUCUAAAGCAGGGCGACCCCCAGUGGAGGGGCGCCGAGGGGUGUGGUGCUCCUCCAACAGCUCUCUCAUGAGGUUCUCUCUGUAUUUUUGGUGGUCCACCUUCCCUGUGGCCGACAUGGUUGCUGUAUGGACAGUGGAGAGGACAUGGACGUCUCUUUUGUCAUGCCACUUUACUGCCAGCUGUUGACCGUUCUCCUGGAACUCCACCUCCCCUCUCUGCAUCUUCCUGCAUCCGAAUGCCGGCAUCCCCUUCCUGUUCGACCUGACUGUGCCACAGGCCCCUGUGCUGUUGGAGAGCAGAUGCUGGAAGAGUGUGGGACUGCUGUACCAAUUGUCCACGUACAAAGUGUGUCCCUUGCCGAGAUGAGGAGCCAGCAUG